CGUCGUCGAUCUGCUGCGGGCAGAUGAAGUGGAUGUGGCUGUCGAAGGCCCCCGCCGUCAGGAUCUUGCCCUCGCCCGCGAUCGCCUCCGUCCCCGGACCGACGAUGAUGUCGACGCCGCUCUGGGUGUCCGGGUUGCCGGCCUUGCCGAUCUUGGCGAUCCGCCCGUCCCUGAGCCCGACAUCGGCCUUGUAGAUCCCGGUAACGUCGAGGAUCAACGCGUUGGUGAUCACCGUGUCCACGGCACCAUCGGCCCGCGUCGCCUGCGAUUGGCCCAUGCCGUCACG
This 286-nucleotide small RNA is filed under the name Tropicimonas sediminicola. RNAcentral's name for it is "Tropicimonas sp. M97 5' ureB small RNA". It matches the Rfam family "5' ureB small RNA". Lineage: Bacteria; Pseudomonadati; Pseudomonadota; Alphaproteobacteria; Rhodobacterales; Roseobacteraceae. The record is from Rfam by way of RNAcentral.